This 212-nucleotide unclassified non-coding RNA is filed under the name Hevea brasiliensis (rubber tree). The record is from RNAcentral. Lineage: Eukaryota; Viridiplantae; Streptophyta; Magnoliopsida; Malpighiales; Euphorbiaceae.
GACGUGCUUGGUAUGAUGCUACCAAGCUAACAACUGAGGUCCUAAAUCUCUAUAAGAAGGCGUUGUGUGUGGAAGGGUGGGAUGAAGCGUUGCAUGAGAUAGCGAGAUUAUCGUACGAGACCGUACUUUCUCCUCAAAAUGCCGAAGCUUUGGUGAAGUCUCUGGAAGAGAUGCCUGUGCUGGUGGUUGGCGGUGUCGAGGAUGCUCUUGUC